This 291-nucleotide ribosomal RNA is filed under the name uncultured Pseudoflavonifractor sp. RNAcentral describes it as "partial 16S ribosomal RNA". It matches the Rfam family "Bacterial small subunit ribosomal RNA", at positions 355 to 661 of the family's 1533-position model. The record is from RNAcentral. Lineage: Bacteria; Bacillati; Bacillota; Clostridia; Eubacteriales; Oscillospiraceae.
UGGGGAAUAUUGGGCAAUGGGCGCAAGCCUGACCCAGCAACGCCGCGUGAAGGAAGAAGGCUUUCGGGUUGUAAACUUCUUUUGUCAGGGACGAGGAGAAGACGGUACCUGACGAAUAAGCCACGGCUAACUACGUGCCAGCAGCCGCGGUAAUACGUAGGUGGCAAGCGUUGUCCGGAUUUACUGGGUGUAAAGGGCGUGUAGCCGGGUCGGCAAGUCAGAUGUGAAAUCCACGGGCUUAACUCGUGAACUGCAUUUGAAACUGUUGAUCUUGAGUAUCGGAGAGGCAAU